This 554-nucleotide long non-coding RNA is filed under the name Oryzias javanicus (javanese ricefish). RNAcentral describes it as "lncRNA (ENSOJAG00000007460.1)". Lineage: Eukaryota; Metazoa; Chordata; Actinopteri; Beloniformes; Adrianichthyidae. The record is from RNAcentral.
AUCACAUGUCCUCUGAGGAGAAACACUUUUAUGUCUGCAUCAACCACCUAUCCCAGAACAUUCUGCUGUACAGCCUGAUAAAAGAGGAGGAGUCCAAGAAGAAAAUAGCCUAUCAGAGGCUACUUUCAACUUUGAACCAGUCCAGGGAUCAUACAGAGUGACAAACAGAAGAGAAGAACUUCUAAAUGAAGAUGUCAGAGAUGAAGCUGAUGAUAGAAGUGAUGAUGAUGAUGAAGAAGAAGACGUGAAAGAGCUGGAAGAACCUGCUAAUAAAGAGUAGGAGAAUGGAGAACCAAAAUGAAGAUGAAGAGUUUGCUGAUGAGGAGCAGGAGUCAGAGGUUCACCAUGAGACCAACAUUCUGAACAGAAAUGAGCAGGACGAAGCUGGACACUCUGUGCAUGAGGUCAACAGCCAAGGAUGGGAAGACUCCUCUGCACCUUUUUCUGGGAGAACUUUGGCCAUGUGUGAUCCAAAGGAACACCUGAGGAGAUCAGCCUUCUCCAGCUGGAGUGACCCUCAUGACCUCCUCCAAGAUUGGGGGUGUCCACUGUGA